This 445-nucleotide ribosomal RNA is filed under the name uncultured bacterium. Its description in RNAcentral is "partial 16S ribosomal RNA". It matches the Rfam family "Bacterial small subunit ribosomal RNA", at positions 354 to 796 of the family's 1533-position model. The record is from RNAcentral.
GUGAGGAAUAUUGGGCAAUGGGCGCAAGCCUGACCCAGCCAUGCCGCGUGAAGGUAGAAGGCCCUAUGGGUUGUAAACUUCUUUUAUACGGGAAGAAACUUCCGAACGUGUUCGGAAUUGACUGUACCGUAGGAAUAAGCAUCGGCUAACUCCGUGCCAGCAGCCGCGGUAAUACGGAGGAUGCAAGCGUUAUCCGGAUUUAUUGGGUUUAAAGGGUGCGUAGGCGGAAUGAUAAGUCAGUGGUGAAAGCCUGCGGCUUAACCGUAGAACUGCCAUUGAUACUGUUGUUCUUGAGUAUAGUUGAGGUGGGCGGAAUGUGUAAUGUAGCGGUGAAAUGCUUAGAUAUUACACAGAACACCGAUUGCGAAGGCAGCUCACUAAGCUGUUACUGACGCUGAGGCACGAAAGCGUGGGGAGCAAACAGGAUUAGAAACCCGAGUAGUCC